RNAcentral lists this ribosomal RNA (564 nucleotides) under Streptomyces sp. 411D11. RNAcentral's name for it is "bacterial SSU rRNA". It matches the Rfam family "Bacterial small subunit ribosomal RNA", at positions 93 to 671 of the family's 1533-position model. Lineage: Bacteria; Bacillati; Actinomycetota; Actinomycetes; Kitasatosporales; Streptomycetaceae. The record is from RNAcentral.
UAGUGGCGAACGGGUGAGUAACACGUGGGCAAUCUGCCCUUCACUCUGGGACAAGCCCUGGAAACGGGGUCUAAUACCGGAUAUCACUCCUGCAGGCAUCUGCGGGAGUUGAAAGCUCCGGCGGUGAAGGAUGAGCCCGCGGCCUAUCAGCUUGUUGGUGAGGUAAUGGCUCACCAAGGCGACGACGGGUAGCCGGCCUGAGAGGGCGACCGGCCACACUGGGACUGAGACACGGCCCAGACUCCUACGGGAGGCAGCAGUGGGGAAUAUUGCACAAUGGGCAGAAAGCCUGAUGCAGCGACGCCGCGUGAGGGAUGACGGCCUUCGGGUUGUAAACCUCUUUCAGCAGGGAAGAAGCGAAAGUGACGGUACCUGCAGAAGAAGCGCCGGCUAACUACGUGCCAGCAGCCGNGGUAAUACGUAGGGCGCAAGCGUUGUCCGGAAUUAUUGGGCGUAAAGAGCUCGUAGGCGGCUUGUCACGUCGGGUGUGAAAGCCCGGGGCUUAACCCGGNUCUGCAUUCGAUACGGGCUAGCUAGAGUGUGGUAGGGGAGAUCGGAAUUCCU